This is a long non-coding RNA of Cyprinus carpio (common carp), 636 nucleotides long. The record is from Ensembl. NCBI's taxonomy places the organism in Eukaryota, Metazoa, Chordata, Actinopteri, Cypriniformes, Cyprinidae.
CACAACAACUGGCCAAAGGUUAAUUUGCCCAGCAGUGGUGUGUGGCAAAUCUGACAUCUAGUGGCCACAAUAAAAAUUGCAUCCCAUUUUUGUGAAAAUGCCAAAGUGCUUUGUGCAGUGGGUAUAGAGGCUCAGAGACAGGAGGAUUUUCAACAGCUUGGCCAUCUAUCUACUGCUGUCAUCAGUGGUCCUGAUUUUUGGAAGUUGCCUAUUUCAUUGACACUCUGUUGGCAAUGCGCCUUCCAUUUUCAUUCUUUGGAAGAAGAUGGUCAAAGUUGGGGUUUUUCAGAAGUCUCUAUAAUACACAAUGAUUUCUUUGAUGUGUUUCCUGCAUCCAGUGCUUGUAUGGCAUGCUGUAAUACCAGAUCUCUUGCAUCCAGUCUCCAUACGUCAAUACAAUUAAGAGAUUCCAUUCAUCAUACUGACCCAGAUGAGAGGGUUUUCAGCCUAAAGACUGGACAGCAACCCCCCAAGCGUUAUUCCUCUCCAUUAACCUCUACAGAUGACUUCAACAUCCUGAAUACUUGAGUAUCAGGAUAUGCUGCAUUCAUGAGUGUUGUUCUUGAUGUACUUCAUGGAAAAAUAUUCAAUUACACAGUAAAUAAAUUCUUUGUGUUGUGAGUCUGUGUUAAUAUG